RNAcentral lists this ribosomal RNA (166 nucleotides) under Clostridiales bacterium AM23-16LB. RNAcentral describes it as "partial 16S ribosomal RNA". It matches the Rfam family "Bacterial small subunit ribosomal RNA", at positions 1 to 147 of the family's 1533-position model. The record is from RNAcentral. Lineage: Bacteria; Bacillati; Bacillota; Clostridia; Eubacteriales.
UUUAAUCGAGAGUUUGAUCCUGGCUCAGGAUGAACGCUGGCGGCGUGCUUAACACAUGCAAGUCGAACGAAGCGCUUAAGAUUGAUUCUUCGGAUGACGUCUUUUGCGACUUAGUGGCGGACGGGUGAGUAACGCGUGGGUAACCUGCCUCACACAGGGGGAUAAC